Molecule: RNA transcript, 2757 nt
Organism: Leptopilina heterotoma
Lineage: Eukaryota; Metazoa; Arthropoda; Insecta; Hymenoptera; Figitidae
Gene name: UDP-glycosyltransferase UGT5-like
Exons: 6
Source: RefSeq, a predicted model, not a curated record
CACAAAUACUAUUUUCAAAAUCCAAAGGAGUGGAAAAUUUUAGGCAAAUAAGAAAAUUAAUCAGUAACGAUAGAACUUAUUUAAUAGAAUGUCGUAUUUAUUGUCAUAGUGCCAUGUCACUCUAAAUUAAACUAAAAUAAACUAAACUAAUCUUUUUAAACAAUUUUCAAAAAUGAAUUAAUUAAAAUUAAGUUAAAAAUUAAUUAAAUUAAAUUCAAAAUGAAUUAAAAUUGAAUUAAAAAAAGAUUUAAAAAUAAAAUAAAUAAAUAAUAAAUUGAAUUAAAAAAUGAAUUAAAAAUUCAAUUUUCUGCUAUUGUUAUUAUUGUAAUGUCGUAUUUAUAGUCCAGUGUUAAUCCGUCUAAAUUAAAAGUUCGAAAAAAUUUUUUAAAAUGAAUUUUCCUUCUGUUUUCAUAAUUUUCUACUCAGUGUUUAUAGAGCCAUUGAUUGGAAUUAAUGGCUAUCGAAUUUUGGCAGUGUUUCCUUUUAAUUCACGAAGUCACAAUUAUUUUUUCGAGGGAGUGACAAAAGCAUUGGCUCUCAAUGGACAUCAAGUGGAUGUUGUUACACAUUACAAAUUGGAAAAUCCACCAAAAAAUUACAAAACAAUUAUCAAUUUAGAUGGAACGAGAAAAAGAAUAAUAAAUCAUUUUUCAUUUGAUAAUGUUAAUGUACUACAAGAAUCGAUAAUAAAGACUUUCUCCCUGUUACAUGGAAAUCAACUUUGUGAAUUGCUGGGUCUGCCAGAGUUGCAAAAUUUAAUCAAGAAUCCACCGCAGGAUCCGCCUUAUGAUCUUCUUAUAACUGAGAUGUUUUGCGCCUCAUGCUUCAUUGGAAUUGGACAUGUUUUGAAAGUGCCGGUUAUCACGAUAUCGUCAUUAAUGGAAAUUUCGUGGUCUAAUGAUAUACUUGGAAAUCCACAUUCGGCGGCAUUUUUUCCAAAUAUAUUGAGUAAUUUAACGGAAAUUUCCACAUUUUGGAAUCGAUUGGUGAACGUUAUUCAAAUACAUCGAAGUAGAUAUGAUUUUUAUAUGUUUACCGAAGAUGCGCAAACGAAAGCGAUGAGAAAAUACUUGGAUCCUAAUAUGCCAAAUAUAAGACAGGUGGAGGGAAGCAUUUCACUCUCAUUCUUCAAUACAUUUUACAGUUUACAUGGUAUAAGAAGUAAAACACCAGCUGUAAUUGAAAUCGCUGGAAUUCAUUUGGAAAAUUCCGAGACCGAAUUGUCGUCUGACUUUCAAGAAUGGAUGGACGAAAGCAAAAAUGGCGUUGUAAUUUUUACAUUGGGAUCAAUGGUUCUAUUAGAAACACUUCCAAGGGAAACUCUUUUCGCAUUUUACGCAGCUUUUGAAAAAAUAGCGCCCAUCAGAGUUUUAAUGAAAAUUGUCAACGAGGAAAAAUUACCACCAGGACUUCCGAGCAACGUUCGCAUUUCUACUUGGUUACCUCAAUAUCAAUUGAUGGGUCACAAUAAUACUCGAUUAUUUAUAACACACGGUGGAUUAUUAUCUACAUUAGAGGCACUCCACUUCGGUAUUCCUACAAUCGGAUUACCUCUCUUUGGAGAUCAAUUUGCAAAUGCUCAUCUUUUGCAGAAAAAGAAUAUGUCGAUUUUAUUAGAUUAUAAAACAAUAACUGAGGAGAAGUUAAACAAAGCUUUCAAUUCUCUUUUACAUGAUCCCAUCUACAGGGAAUCAGCGAAACGUGAAUCAAAAUUAUUUCACGACCGGCCAUUUACACCGAGUCAAACUGUCAAUUAUUGGGUAGAAUACGUAAUUCGAAAUGGACCAAAUGUUUUAAGAUCACCUGCAGUCGGUGUAAAUUGGUGGAAAAGGGAACUUCUCGACGUUUACGGAUUUUUAAUGCUCUGCUUUUUAAUACUUUUGAUUUUAACAAUUCUCUCCUUAAAACUUAUUGUAGAUUUAAUUUUUAAAUUUUUCCUUUUGCCAACAAGGCCAACAACUAAGAAAAGUGGAGGUAUUUUAGCUUUCUAAGUAUUUAAUAUUGUUAACUAUUUUUAAGUAUACUAGCUAAUUAAAAACAUAAUUUUAACUAUAGAGCAACAAAUAAUUCGUCAUUUUUAGAGAAAAUGUAUUUAAUUUUUCGAUUUGAAUGUAAAUUUUAUUCGAUGUUAAAUAAAAAUUUCAAUAAAAAUAUUUAGAAUAACAAAUAAUUCGUUACUUUUAUAGAGAAAAUAUUAUUCACUGAUUUAUUUUAUUAAUGUAAAUUUUAUCUGAUGUUUAAAAAAUGAAACGUAACUUUAUCUCUAAUUUUUUUUUUCUUUGAAGUGCCUAGAUCAAUUUUGCAAUAGUGAAGUUAAACGUAUAGAAGAUUAUUAAGUUUAUCAUAAAUAUAAUUUUAAAUAAAAUUUUUCUAAAGAUUUUUCCAUUCAAUAAGCAUUAUGCAAGCAGAGCAUUGAAACUGAUUUUAUUAUCUCGUUUUGCGUUGUUUCAUUAAAUUCUAUCAGUCGAAAAACAUCGUUGCACUGAGCGCAUUAUCUUUUUCUCCGGAGUCUAUAACAAUUUCUUUCUAUCAUCCCUUUCAAAGAAAAAUUACUAAUUAAAAAUUUUUUCAUAACGCGGUGCAAAAAAGGGCACUUUUUUGCACCUUGUUAUAAAAAAUAUCAACUAAGAACUUAUUGCAAUAAAAUAAAAAAACAAUUUAAGCAAAUCAGAAUUUCGACAGAAAUUGGUAAAUUUUAUCAAAAAGUGAAGAAGUGGUUUCUUUUUGGUUUUUGAAAUUUGUGAAAUAGGGGAAAAU